GGCCUCGUGGCCCAAUGGCAAGGCGUCUGACUACGAUCGAAAGUACUCCUGAACAGCUGUUGCCAGCUGCAGGUCACCUGAUCCAUCAGGAGAUUCUGGGUUCGACCCCCAGCGAGGUCA
Xylaria venustula is the source of this 120-nucleotide non-coding RNA. Lineage: Eukaryota; Fungi; Ascomycota; Sordariomycetes; Xylariales; Xylariaceae. The record is from the annotation of a GenBank genome assembly.